This is a non-coding RNA of Glonium stellatum, 94 nucleotides long. Lineage: Eukaryota; Fungi; Ascomycota; Dothideomycetes; Gloniales; Gloniaceae. The record is from the annotation of a GenBank genome assembly.
AGACUCAUGGUCUAGUGGUAUGACGUUCGCUUCACAUCAUCGUGAUUAGCUUCUCAAGCGCGAAAGGUCCUGGGUUCGAUCCCCAGUGGGUCUA